RNAcentral lists this ribosomal RNA (466 nucleotides) under uncultured bacterium. Its description in RNAcentral is "partial 16S ribosomal RNA". It matches the Rfam family "Bacterial small subunit ribosomal RNA", at positions 338 to 795 of the family's 1533-position model. The record is from RNAcentral.
CCUACGGGUGGCUGCAGUGAGGAAUAUUGGUCAAUGGUCGGGAGACUGAACCAGCCAAGCCGCGUGAGGGAUGAAGGUACAGAGUAUCGUAAACCUCUGUCAGCAGGGAAGAACGGUCACUGUGCUAAUCAGCAGUGAAUUGACGGUACCUGCAAAGGAAGCACCGGCUAACUCCGUGCCAGCAGCCGCGGUAAUACGGAGGGUGCGAGCGUUAAUCGGAAUUACUGGGCGUAAAGCGCUCGUAGGCGGUAUGUCAAGUCAAGGGUGAAAUCCCCGCGCUCAACGUGUGAACUGCCUUUGAAACUGGCAAACUGGAGUGUGUGAGAGGAUAGUGGAAUUCCAGGUGUAGGAGUGAAAUCCGUAGAUAUCUGGAGGAACAUCAGUGGCGAUGGCGACUAUCUGGCACAUAACUGACGCUGAGGAGCGAAAGCGUGGGUAGCAAACAGGAUUAGAUACCCGAGUAGUC